This 253-nucleotide ribosomal RNA is filed under the name uncultured bacterium. Its description in RNAcentral is "partial 16S ribosomal RNA". It matches the Rfam family "Bacterial small subunit ribosomal RNA", at positions 524 to 776 of the family's 1533-position model. The record is from RNAcentral.
UACGGAGGAUGCAAGCGUUAUCCGGAAUGAUUGGGCGUAAAGCGUCCGCAGGUGGCAAUGUAAGUCUGCUGUCAAAGCGUCUGGCUCAACCAGAUAAAGGCAGUGGAAACUACAUAGCUAGAGUAAGGUAGGGGUAGAGGGAAUUCCUGGUGUAGCGGUGAAAUGCGUAGAGAUCAGGAAGAACACCGGUGGCGAAAGCGCUCUGCUGGACAUUAACUGGCACUGAGGGACGAAAGCUAGGGGAGCGAAUGGG